UAAGGUCUAGUGACACUUUACCAGAUGGGGUCAAAUGACAUCCGUGAAGCAGGAGCCAUCCAUCAGAUCACUUUGUGUCGUUUCCCUUCCACUGUGACGCCUCUGCAAGAGCAGCAGUCAUUUCCUCUGUUACCUCUGGAUCAUAGAGAGCUUUAAAUUCCAAUCACAGCGCAGCACUCCACAGUGCAAAUGGCAACAAGGUCAACCAAGAUGGUAAAUGACUGCAAAGAAAUAAGGAAGACACAAAGAUAAAGAGAUUCAACCUUUCCAAGGAGAUCAAUAUUGGCUUUCUCAGAAACCCACUUGAGCUGUAAUUCAUUUCUGAGGAGAUCAAUGCCUCUGUAACUCAUCUCUGAUAGAGCAGAAACACCAUCACCUCCGUAACUCAUUACCGAUGGGCCGGUGAUGAUUCAGCAGCAAACCCCAGCAGAGAACAGCCAGGUCAAUUACACAUGAAACAACCAAGACAGACGCACAAGGAGCACAGGUCUGAUAACCUGCAGCCAGAACAGCAUGAUCUGGUAUAAGUGGUCACCACUAUCUACGAGCACAUGCAAUGAGAGGGUUAAGUCCUAUUCAGCAUUCAUCGCACUCCAG
Archocentrus centrarchus (flier cichlid) is the source of this 597-nucleotide long non-coding RNA. RefSeq lists it as uncharacterized. Lineage: Eukaryota; Metazoa; Chordata; Actinopteri; Cichliformes; Cichlidae. The transcript is spliced from 4 exons. The record is from RefSeq and is a predicted model, not a curated record.